UGGUCUCUUCCUUUUUUUUUUGAGGAAAAUAAACCCCAAUUUUCGCACUUCGCCACCCGAAAACCCUAUCAGCCAUGCCGGAGGCCGACGCCAUUCCCCAACCUUACGCACUGCACCGCACCCUCAACGGUCACAAGCACGCCGUCUCGUCUGUCAAGUUCUCCCCCGACGGCACCCUCCUUGCGUCAGCCUCCGCCGACAAGAUUCUCCGCGUGUGGUCCACCUCCGACUUCUCCCUCCGCGCCGAGCUCUCCGGACACGAUGAGGGAAUCUCGGAUCUCUCCUUCUCCGCUGACGCUCGCCAACUUUGUUCCUCCUCCGACGACUUCACCGUCCGCAUCUGGGACCUGGAGACUGCCACCGCCGUCAAGACCCUCUCCGGCCAUACCGACUACGCCUUCUGCUGCUCCUUCAAUCCGCAGUCGGACUUGAUCGCAUCAGGCUCCUUCGACGAGACCGUCCGGGUGUGGGAGGUCAGGUCCGGCAAGUGCCUCCGAGUUCUCCCCGCCCACUCUGAUGCUGUGACUGCUGUCGACUUCAACCGCGACGGAGGCCUUAUUAUAUCGGGUAGCUAUGAUGGGAUGUGCCGGAUUUGGGACUCGGCCAAUGGGCAUUGCGUCACUACGCUUGUUGAGGAUAAGAGUCCGCCCGUUUCGUUUGCCAAAUUUUCCCCAAAUGGCAAAUUUGUGCUCGCCGCUACCCUUGAUAGUACACUGAAACUCUGGAACUUCUCCACGGGUAAGAUCUUGAAGACAUAUACUGGACACGUUAACUCAAACUACUGCAUUCCAUCUACAUUUUCAAUCACAAAUGGCAAGUACAUUGUCAGUGGUUCCGAAGACAAUAUCGUCUACCUGUGGGAUCUCCAAACAAGAAAAGUAGUGCAGAAACUCGAAGGUCAUACUGAUAUUGUUAUAGCCGUGACAUGCCACCCCUCUGAAAACAUGAUUGCUUCGGGUGCGCUCGAUAAGGAUAAGACAGUUAAGAUAUGGGUUCAGAACUAAAUUACCUGGUAACAACCUACUACUAAUAUGUGACUCAUCAAUCCAAUCCAGUAAUCUUCAUUGUUGAAGAGAGCUCAAACUGGAGAUGAUCUGUUCACCAAGAAGCAGCAGCCCCCUUCGAUAUCUCCGGCGAUCAUCCGAUCGCUUGAUCGCUUGCUUGCCGGUCUCUUCUUCCAUCUUUACUAGUUGCAGAAGCUUAGGAAUCCCAUGUAUUCAUGGUGCUUGAUCAUAGAAAUGGAUUUCUCUGUGCCAACAACUCCUGGAACAUUACAAGAACAAAGAACACAAUGAGUUAGUGAUUAUGAUCUAAAGUAACUGCAACUCUGUUGGUGGUAGAGAGAUCAUACCCAUGGUCAGAGCACUGGCGAAGAUGACCGAGGAGAAGAUGAAGACGAUUAUCGACGAACUGGCCCCAGAAUCCAGCCAAGACAGACGGCGAUGAGGUAGCAAGCUGCGUGGAACAGUAAGUAUGAAUGUUUCGAUGCGGGCAGGCAUUCGAGCAAUUACUGGUGUUCUUGCCGUAAGGGAUGGAGAAUCUCUUCAGGAAGUAAAACUCCGGCACCGAUAAGGACGACGAGAACACCAUCACCAAUGUUGCUGUGGCACUGACCACCUGGAAUUUAGAAAUAUUGUAAAAGAUUAGAUUUUGGAGGGAUUUUUGGGGAGUUUUUUGUUGAUUUAUUUUGAUAGAUCGGCACUUGUGAGAGCUUCAUCAAGCAGGGAGGAGGAACAGUAGCACUGACAAUUGUGGUUUUCUCCGGCCGAGGAAGAAUAGGCUCGUAUUUGGCGGCGACAUCAACAUCCCUGUUGAAGAAGAAAUUGCGUGAUCAUAAAUCGAUCUCUAUAAAUUGGAUAAAUGUUUCUUUUGGCGUAUUGCCAUGUUUUUGAUUCA
This is an RNA transcript of Zingiber officinale, 1896 nucleotides long. It is a transcript of the gene named WD repeat-containing protein 5-like, with no coding region annotated. The record is from RefSeq and is a predicted model, not a curated record. The transcript is spliced from 3 exons. NCBI's taxonomy places the organism in Eukaryota, Viridiplantae, Streptophyta, Magnoliopsida, Zingiberales, Zingiberaceae.